Hibiscus syriacus is the source of this 1907-nucleotide RNA transcript. RefSeq lists it as uncharacterized. The transcript is spliced from 4 exons. The record is from RefSeq and is a predicted model, not a curated record. Lineage: Eukaryota; Viridiplantae; Streptophyta; Magnoliopsida; Malvales; Malvaceae.
AGAAAACAGUUUCUCACUACUCUCUGCUCUGCUUUCUAUUUUCUCACUAGGAAACUCCAUGAAAAUGAACAUCAAAGCUCUGUUUUUUUCAAUCUAAAACUUCCCAUUAAUCCAAACCUUUGUUUCUCUCUUUUUUUUUUCUUUCUUCUUCCAUUUCCAAAUCGAAAAAAGGAUCUUUUUUGUUGAAAAAUCCGAUAGCAAUGGAGAAAAAGCAAGGAUUUUUUUCAUCUCUCAAAGAAGAAGUGAUUCGCGGGCUUUCUCCUUCCCGCUCUCGUUCCACCAGCCCGGCGAGAGCUCGUUCGCCCAUGUCCGGUCUGUUUCGAAGAAAGAAAACCAACGGCAAUGGUGGCGGCGGCGGUUACGUGGCGCAACCGGGACCAUUGAUCGCGAGAUCCGGGAGUUUAAGGCUGGUCGGGGAAGCUUUGGCUCCGCUCAUGGAAGGCCCCGAUCCCGACGGAGGCGAAGUCGGGGACUCGAAGCGGGCCGGGUCGGUGCUAGGACAAUGGGUCAAGGGACAGUUGUCGAGGACACCGUCCGUUGCUUCGAUGAGUUACCGUCGGUCCGAUCUACGGCUGUUGCUCGGUGUCAUGGGUGCGCCGUUGGCUCCGAGUCAUGUUGACUUCACUGAUCCUUUGUCUCAUUUGAGCAUCAAAGACACUCCCAUUGAAACUUCCUCUGCUCAGUACAUAUUGCAGCAAUAUACGGCUGCUUCCGGUGGACAGAAGCUGCAAAACUCGAUUCGGAAUGCUUACGCCAUGGGGAAGCUUAAAAUGGUCGCUUCCGAGUACGAGGCUGCCUCGACAGCCACGAGGACGGUCAAGAACCGUAAUGGCUCUCGAGCUGCCGAGUCCGGUGGCUUUGUGCUCUGGCAAAUGAAUCCGGACAUGUGGUAUGUCGAGCUUGUGGUCGGAGACAGCAAGGUUCGUGCUGGAUGUAACGGUAAGCUAGUGUGGAGGCACACGCCUUGGCUCGGGAGUCACACCGCGAAGGGGCCUGUUCGACCGUUGCGUCGAGCACUUCAGGGGCUUGAUCCGAGAACUACGGCUAGUAUGUUUGCUGAUGCAAGAUGCAUAGGAGAGAAAAAGAUUGACGGUGAAGAUUGCUUCAUCCUCAAGCUUUGUACUGAUCCGCAGACGUUGAAGGCAAGAAGCGAAGGCCCUACCGAGAUCAUUAGGCACGUCUUAUUCGGUUACUUCAGUCAGAAAACCGGACUUCUCGUUCACAUGGAAGAUUCACAUCUGACUCGCAUCCAAUCCAAUGGUGGUGAUGCUGUUUAUUGGGAAACCACAAUCAAUUCAUAUCUCGACGAUUACCUACCCGUGGAGGGUAUCAUGAUAGCGCAUUCCGGGCGUUCCGUUGUUACACUUUUCAGGUUUGGGGACGUUGCAAUGAGCCAUACGAAAACAAAGAUGGAAGAAGCAUGGACCAUCGAAGAGGUUGCCUUCAACGUGCCAGGCCUUUCUAUCGAUUGCUUCAUCCCUCCAGGCGAUUUGAGGUCCGGAUCCAUCGGUGAAACCCGUGAACUAUCACAGGAUGAAAAGGGAAAGAACACCAUCGUAUUAGCUGCACAACGAGCCAAGCUUGCCGCCUUAGAACGUCCGUAAGAUAACGAUGCAGGAAGCAAGAUUUGGAAGAUGGAAGCCUAAUGCAAAUGUGGAAAUCACAUAUUGCAAAUUGUUCAUAUAGAGUCCGGUGACUGAGUCGGAGCUUGGUUAUUCAAUCCGGGAUAGAGCAAACGGAGGUUAAUAUUUUAGGUUACCUUCCUUAAUAUAGUGUACAAUAACUCCAAUGGUGAUACAUUGUGGCAGUAAAAAAGGUACUGCUAUUGAAUCAGCAUGAGUUCGGCAAAUUUGACAGUUAUUUUUAUAGUUUUUACUGGUACAGUUUCUGGAUUUGUGAUUCCGUUG